This 1190-nucleotide unclassified non-coding RNA is filed under the name Hevea brasiliensis (rubber tree). Lineage: Eukaryota; Viridiplantae; Streptophyta; Magnoliopsida; Malpighiales; Euphorbiaceae. The record is from RNAcentral.
AUUUUAGUCAUCAUUGGAAUCACAUCAGAAAUAAUAGCCUUAUUGUCCGCCAUUAGAUGAAAUUAACAAAAUUCUAACACAGAUUAAUAACCAACUCUGUCCCAAUCUUCAAACAAAUUCAAUAAAACUUAGAAACAAAAGAAUUCCGUGAAAACAAAACUUGAAAUUGCUCAACAAUUAACUGCCCGAAGGAGAGAAAUAUUUGAGAUCCAAAAGAAAUGCCCAAAAUUGAACAAUGAACCACGGAACUGGAAUCGCAAAGUCGAGGCGACCCUGGGACAAGAGGCGCGACUGUUGGACGUCACUGGAAGAGGGCACACGAGCGUUCACGCGCCGGCGCGUGGAAUAGGAACCAGAAAUAAAAGUUGGCGUGUGGAGGCCACUCACUCCAAGUCCAGUCACCGGACUUUCAGGGAAGGCUGGUCAGCACUUGGGUCACCUUCUGAGGGUGGUUGUGAGAUACCAUAAUAACCCUAGGGGGUUCUCCUAGGUUACAGGGGGUCAAAGGAAAGAACAGGGGAACGGGAACAGGAAAGAAUUCUCAGGGAAAGAGGGCUACGAGGCCAGGCUCUAAUACCAUGUAAGUUAAGGUAAUUUUCAUAUAUUCAAAGGUGUUAAUAUACUACUAUAUAUAUAUACACAAUUAUCUCCUAUUCUACAUAGACUGAAAUUCUACUUCUACAUUGAUUAGGAAUCCUUUUCUAACAAGGAUAUCCUAUAAGAGUCAACUUCUAAUAGGAAAAGACUUCUAUAAUGGUUUGAAACUGAAUUGAAAACCAAAAUAUGAGAAUUUGAAAAGCCGAACCAACCGAAUUACUAGUUUGGUCUGAUUGGGUUUUUAAUCUAAUUUUCUUUUGCAAUCAAUUUGAAAUUUUUAUCAUGUGUACAUUUUUGAAAAAUGAUUAAAUGAUUAUUUUAAGCGCAAUAAAUUUUGAUUUUUCACAUUUAUAUCCAUGCAUUUCCAACUUUUCUUGGGUGCAAUUUAUAAAAAAAAAAAUGAGAAUAAUUGAAUAAAUAAAAGUAUUUUCAUACAAAAUAUCUAAAAGAUAAAAAUUAUUAAUCUCAUAUUUUGCAUAUGUAAUAUAUUAACCCCUAUACCUAUGCACUUAUCCAAAUCAAACUGAAUAUGGGGGAAUUAUUAAAAUAUUUUUAUCUUUUUAUUUGUAUUAAUUAAAUUGGUUCAGUUGAUU